AGAUGGGACAUCUUGGUCGGCAUGGGCGUUAGGCUGAUGGGCCCUUUUCCAUACUGUGUCACUCUGACAACUCCAACUGGAUGUUAAAAGUAUUCCAAUGCACUUUGGAAUAUCCUGUGCUCAUGAUGAGUGCUAUAUAAAUGCAGGUCCUUCAUUUAUAGAUCCUUUUUGAAAGUUACCAUUGAAUCUGAUUCCAGUACCCAUCAAACACAAAGU
Long non-coding RNA from Amblyraja radiata (thorny skate), 216 nucleotides. RefSeq lists it as uncharacterized. The transcript is spliced from 3 exons. The record is from RefSeq and is a predicted model, not a curated record. Lineage: Eukaryota; Metazoa; Chordata; Chondrichthyes; Rajiformes; Rajidae.